GUGCUAUGAUGACAUCCAACUGUGAUUUCCUCAAACUGAUAAUUCAAUGAGGACAUUAAAUUCCUUGGCUGUGUCUGAGCAU
This is a small nucleolar RNA of Trichosurus vulpecula (common brushtail), 82 nucleotides long. RefSeq annotates it as small nucleolar RNA SNORD53/SNORD92. The transcript has a single exon. The record is from RefSeq and is a predicted model, not a curated record. NCBI's taxonomy places the organism in Eukaryota, Metazoa, Chordata, Mammalia, Diprotodontia, Phalangeridae.